GCGCUGCUCUGCUUCGGCUUAGCUCGUUCGUAAUGCAUUAGCAUCCGCAACCGAAACUUCGGAUUGACUUGGCGUAAUAGACUAUUCGCUGAGGAUUCCAGACUUGUUCUGGAGCCGAGUUGGGUUAAAGGAAGCUUCUAAUCCUAAAGUCUAUUUUUUGAUUAGAUCUCAAAUCAGGUAGGACUACCCGCUGAACUUAA
Molecule: unclassified non-coding RNA, 200 nt
Filed under: soil metagenome
Description: partial contains internal transcribed spacer 2 and large subunit ribosomal RNA
Source: RNAcentral